UCAUCUCUCUGUAAUAAAAUAAACACUCAAAAAAGAGAAGAAGAAGAAGCCAUUGCAGAGAAUUUAUCGAGGAGUUAGCCGGAGAGAAAAAUGUCGACAUCAUCAGUGAACUUGGAAGAUGUUCCCUCCGAGAGCCUCAUGUCGGAGCUUCUCCGCCGCAUGAGGUGUUCCUCCAAGCCGGACAAACGUCUUAUUCUCAUUGGCCCACCUGGAUCAGGGAAAGGAACACAAUCUCCUAUCAUUAAAGAUGAGUAUUGCUUGUGUCAUUUAGCCACGGGGGAUAUGCUGAGAGCUGCUGUUGCUGCCAAAACACCUUUGGGCAUUAAGGCGAAGGAGGCCAUGGAUAAGGGAGAACUUGUUUCUGAUGACUUGGUUGUUGGGAUCAUAGACGAAGCAUUAAAGAAGCCAUCAUGUCAAAAAGGAUUCAUUCUUGACGGGUUUCCUAGAACUGUGGUGCAAGCAGAAAAGCUUGAUGUGAUGCUUCAAAAUCGAGGUACUAAAGUUGAUAAGGUUCUUAAUUUUGCGAUUGAUGAUGCCAUCUUGGAAGAGAGAAUUACCGGACGCUGGAUCCACCCAGCUAGUGGUCGGUCAUACCAUACAAAAUUUGCACCUCCUAAAGUACCUGGGAUAGAUGAUGUCACUGGAGAGCCAUUGAUACAACGAAAAGAUGAUACUGCUGCUGUUCUCAAGUCAAGGCUAGAAGCCUUCCACAGGCAAACUGAGCCGGUCAUUGACUACUAUGCCAAGAAGGGUAAUGUAGUGAAUCUUCCUGCUGAGAAACCACCACAGGCAGUCACAGCUGAAGUCAAGAAAGUUCUCUCCUAAUGGAAGGAUGCCAACUUUUCAUUUUGGUUUAAGGAUUGAAAAUUUAACUAUGAAUUUUGGUUGACCAGUUAUAUUUCUGGUUUCCUUUUUAUGGCACUAGCUGGUUCAACCCUUUAUGAACAUAUCACUAAGUGUUGGUGAAUUUAUUUUACUUUUGACAUUGCUCUUUAGUGAGCUUUUGCAGAGUGCAAUAGGAAUUGACACAAAAUUAUUACUCGUACCAAGUCAGAAUGAAGUUUAACAGAAGAUACCCAUUUUUGAGUUUUGUGGGAGGGUAAUAGA
RNAcentral lists this unclassified non-coding RNA (1107 nucleotides) under Hevea brasiliensis (rubber tree). Lineage: Eukaryota; Viridiplantae; Streptophyta; Magnoliopsida; Malpighiales; Euphorbiaceae. The record is from RNAcentral.